Molecule: long non-coding RNA, 1735 nt
Organism: Populus trichocarpa (black cottonwood)
Lineage: Eukaryota; Viridiplantae; Streptophyta; Magnoliopsida; Malpighiales; Salicaceae
Exons: 8
Source: RefSeq, a predicted model, not a curated record
CAUGAAACAAAAAGGCGGUAGUAUACGCAUUCGGAAGUCGGAACUCCCUUGCUCAGCGCUGCUUCUUCUCUACGAUUCUAACUUCUCUCCGGUCCACUACCGUAUUCUAAUCUUCCCCUUCUCUAAUCCUUCCUUCCCUAGAUAAACCAAUCUCCUUUCAUGGCGAAUACUGGCGAAGAUCCGACCCGGACAAUUAACCCUUCGCAAUUUCACUUUCAGUUACUUCACUCUCAUUCUCACCUCCUCAAAUAAUUCAACGCCUUCAACUCUUCCCUUCCUCUUUCCGUAAACCUCACCACCCGCCUCUCCCUCCUCCUCCUCCUGUUAACAAUAACACUUCUCUCGGCUUUCAAUUCCAGUUCCAACACGCACUCUGCAUUCCGUGAAGUCGCGUUGGGGACGAAAAGUGAAGGUGAUAAUCCUCAGUUUCAGACUGCAAGAGAUGCAGCCAUGAACCAUCCGUGCUCAAAGUGAUACAGUUACUGAUCAAACACUUGUUACUUGCUCUUCAGUCAUCUUCUGGGGGUAAGCGUAGAAGUAAGUCAAAGGUUCCGAAACAUGGCAAAUCAGGGACUGAAAGAUUGAAUGCCUAUUCUCUGAAUUCAGCUACUGGUUGUUGAUAUGACAGUUCUUUAGGUAUGUCAAAGAAGCAUUUUAAUCUAAAAGCUUUGGUUAUUACUUGAGGCUCCAAGAUAUGAUUUAUAUUAUUCUCUAACACACCCCUUCAAAUGAGUACAGGUCCACACUACCUCAUGCUUAAUUAUAUCAAAUAAAAUGAGAUAGUAAGAUUCCAACUCGUGACCACUUGGUCAAUAAGACUCUAUACCAUUUCAAAGAAUCAUUUUAAGCUGUUAGGUGAGGCCUUAAGAUAUAAUUUAUGCUAUUCUUUAACAUGGUAAGUUCGGAUUGAUUAGCUUUUACCAUCUUUGUUAGUUUAGAAUGUUCCUAGGUUUAUUCUAUUUGCACACAUCUCUACUUGCUGUUAAUUUGGGUGGCUUUAAAUCUGUUUUGGCCAGGCUUGUUAAACAAGAAAUUUGUCAAGUUGAUCCAGGAGGCUCAGGAUGGGACACUUGAUCUGGAAAAAAAAAAUAACUGUAGGAGUGUUGGAGGCAUGGAAAAGGAAAAUGUUAUGUGCUAAGCACGUAUGCUGCUAAAUAAGAAAAUUGAAUUGCUCACACUGGAGGGUUCACAUAAGUUUUUUUUUUUUCCUAUUGUAGUAGUGUGUCUCCUUUUAUCUUAUCACAACUAGUUAUAAUGUGAAAUCACAUGUGAUGGUUAUUCUGUGGGUAGCAUGAAUAUCUUUGCUAUUAAUUGAACUUUCCUGGCACAAUAUUGGUUUUACAGGUCCAAAAGAGGAGGAUGUAUGAUAUUACAAAUGUUCUGGAAGGGAUAGGAUUGAUAGAGAAAACUUCAAAAAAUCAUAUACGCUGGAAGGGAUAUGAUGAUUUUGAGCAAAAGAUAAUGGAUGAUCAUGCUGGAAUAAAGGCUGAAGUUGAAAGUUUAUAUACUGGAGUUCAGACUCGAUGAAUCUACAAGGGAUAGACGAGAACUUCUGAGAGGCCUGAAGGCGGAUGUGUUUCGUGAAAUUAUCUCGUUCUGAUGGAAGAAGAUAUUACCAGCCUUUCAUGCUUCCAGGAUAUUGGUUCCCCUCGAUACAAAAUGACUGUUAGAAGCACCAAUGGACCCAUUGUAUGUGUAUCUCUUGAGGUAACAUUCACAACAGAUGUGCAGUUUC